AGUACGGCCGCAAGGUUAAAACUCAAAUGAAUUGACGGGGGCCCGCACAAGCGGUGGAGCAUGUGGUUUAAUUCGAUGCAACGCGAAGAACCUUACCUGAUCUUGACAUCCACAAAACUUUCCAGAGAUGGAUUGGUGCCUUCGGGAACUGUGAGACAGGUGCUGCAUGGCUGUCGUCAGCUCGUGUUGUGAAAUGCUGGGUUAAGUCCCGCAACGAGCGCAACCCUUAUCCUUUGUUGCCAGCGGUCCGGCUGGGAACACAAAGGAGACUGCCAGUGAUAAACUGGAGGAAGGUGGGGAUGACGUUAAGUCAUCAUGGCCCUUACGACCAGGGCUACACACGUGCUACAAUGGCAUAUACAAAGAGAAGCAACCUCGCGAGAGGAAGC
Molecule: ribosomal RNA, 389 nt
Filed under: Klebsiella pneumoniae
Lineage: Bacteria; Pseudomonadati; Pseudomonadota; Gammaproteobacteria; Enterobacterales; Enterobacteriaceae
Description: bacterial SSU rRNA
Rfam family: Bacterial small subunit ribosomal RNA
Source: RNAcentral